ACGAACGCUGGCGGCGUGCUUAACACAUGCAAGUCGAACGAAGAGCGAUGGAAGCUUGCUUCUAUCAAUCUUAGUGGCGAACGGGUGAGUAACGCGUAAUCAACCUGCCCUUCAGAGGGGGACAACAGUUGGAAACGACUGCUAAUACCGCAUACGAUCUAAUCUCGGCAUCGAGGAUAGAUGAAAGGUGGCCUCUACAUGUAAGCUAUCACUGAAGGAGGGGAUUGCGUCUGAUUAGCUAGUUGGAGGGGUAACGGCCCACCAAGGCGAUGAUCAGUAGCCGGUCUGAGAGGAUGAACGGCCACAUUGGGACUGAGACACGGCCCAGACUCCUACGGGAGGCAGCAGUGGGGAAUCUUCCGCAAUGGACGAAAGUCUGACGGAGCAACGCCGCGUGAGUGAUGACGGCCUUCGGGUUGUAAAGCUCGGUUAAUCGGGACGAAAGGCCUUCUUGCGAACAGUUAGAAGGAUUGACGGUACCGGAAUAGAAAGCCACGGCUAACUACGUG
Molecule: ribosomal RNA, 509 nt
Filed under: uncultured bacterium
Lineage: Bacteria
Description: partial 16S ribosomal RNA
Rfam family: Bacterial small subunit ribosomal RNA
Source: RNAcentral